Molecule: ribosomal RNA, 437 nt
Filed under: uncultured bacterium
Lineage: Bacteria
Description: partial 16S ribosomal RNA
Rfam family: Bacterial small subunit ribosomal RNA
Source: RNAcentral
AGCGAACGCUGGCGGCAGGCUUAACACAUGCAAGUCGAGCGGGCAUCCUAGUGGUGUCAGCGGCAGACGGGUGAGUAACGCGUGGGAACGUGCCCUUCGGUUCGGAAUAACUCAGGGAAACUUGAGCUAAUACCGGAUACGUGCGAGAGCAGAAAGGUUUAACUGUCGAAGGAUCGGCCCGCGUCUGAUUAGCUAGUUGGUGAGGUUACGGCUCACCAAGGGGCAGAGCAGUAGCUGGUCUGAGAGGAUGAUCAGCCACACUGGGACGGGGACACGGCCCAGACUCCUACGAGAGGAAGCAAUGGGGAAUGUUGGACGAUGGGGGCAACACGGAUCCAGCCAUGCCGCGUGAGUGAUGACGGCGUUAGGGUUGUAAAGCUCUUUUCUCCGGGACGAUAAUGACGGUACCGGACGAAUAAGCCCCGGCUAACUUCGUG